AUUAUUUUUUUUCCCUACUACGUACGACCACUUGUAAUAUUUUUUCCCCCACUUGCAACGGAAUCAAGUCAAUUUAUACAAUUUUUUUUUUGGCAUUUGCUUUGGACGUCAAGUUUUGACAAAUUUCCUGAAAUACCCUCCUCUGUUUUCUCAUUCUUCCAUACAGUAAGCAUGAGCUUAAGAAUGGACAAGGGUAAAACAGUAUUUAAAGCUGGAUGAAUUCUUCAUCCUUUUCCCUACUUCAUGUCUGUACACAAGCAGAGGCUUUUCCCACAAAAGCUUCAUUUCCCGUGCUGGUUGUAUUUCUCUGUGAGUCUUUGAUUCCUUCAUUUCGGAAGAAAAGAUGGUUGUGGUGGAGGCGUUUCUGUCUUCCUUGUUUGAGGUGGUGCUGGACAAGCUGGUGGCUACCCCUUUGUUAGAUUAUGCACGCCGGAUCAAAGUAGACACAGCAGUGCUCCAGGAGUGGAGUAAGACUUUGUUGGAUCUCCAAGCAGUGCUGCAUGAUGCUGAGCAGAGGCAGAUUCGGGAGGAAGCGGUGAAGAGUUGGGUGGACGAUCUCAAAGCUUUAGCUUACGACAUCGAAGAUGUCCUGGACGAGUUUGACAUGGAGGCUAAGCGAUGCAAAGGGCCCCAAACCAGCACCAGCAAGGUACGGAAGCUUAUCCCCUCUUUUCAUCCUAGCGGUGUGAUAUUCAAUAAGAAGAUUGGUCAAAAGAUCAAGACAAUCACCGAGCAAUUAGAUAAGAUUGUAGAAAGAAAGUCUCGUCUCGAUCUGACACAGAGUGUUGGAGGGGUAUCAUCAGUGACUCAACAAAGGUUGACUACUUCUUUGAUAGAUAAGGCUGAGUUUUAUGGUAGGGAUGGUGAUAAGGAGAAGAUCAUGGAAUUGUUGCUAUCUGAUGAAAUAGCUACUGCUGAUAAGGUUCAGGUGAUUCCGAUUGUUGGUAUGGGUGGGGUUGGAAAAACAACCCUCGCUCAAAUGAUCUAUAACGACAAGAGGGUUGGGGACAAUUUCGAUAUCAGAGGUUGGGGGUGUGUAUCUGAUCAGUUUGAUUUGGUAGUGAUAACGAAAUCAAUUUUAGAGUCGGUCUCUAAGCAUUCAUCUGAUACUUCUAAUACACUGCAAUCACUACAAGAUAGUUUGCAGAAAAAGUUGAAUGGAAAAAGGUUUUUCCUUGUUUUGGAUGAUAUAUGGAAUGAGGACCCCAAUAGCUGGGGUACCUUACAAGCUCCUUUUAGAAAUGGAGCACAAGGCAGUGUGGUAAUGGUAACAACUCGUCUUGAAGAUGUUGCAUCUAUUAUGCGCACUACCUCUUCCCAUCAUCUUAGUAAACUCUCUGAUGAAGAUUGUUGGUCACUAUUUGCAGGCAUUGCCUUCGAAAACGUAACUCCAGAUGCCCGCCAAAACUUGGAACCUAUUGGUAGGAAAAUAAUAAAGAAAUGUGACGGUUUGCCUUUGGCUGCAAAUACAUUGGCAGGUCUGUUGCGCUGUAAACAAGAUGAGAAGACUUGGAAGGAUAUGCUGAACAGCGAAAUAUGGGAUUUACGAACAGAACAAAGUAGAAUUCUUCCGGCUCUACACUUGAGUUACCAUUACCUCCCUACAAAAGUGAAGCAGUGCUUUGCAUAUUGUUCCAUCUUUCCAAAGGAUUAUGAAUUUCAAAAGGAGGAGUUAAUUUUGUUGUGGAUGGCGCAAGGUUUAGUGGGUAGCUUGAAAGGAGGGGAGACGAUGGAAGAUGUUGGUGAAAUAUGUUUUCAGAACCUAUUAUCAAGGUCAUUCUUUCAACAAUCCGGUCAUAAUAAGUCAAUGUUUGUGAUGCAUGAUUUGAUUCACGAUUUGGCUCAAUUUGUAUCUGGAGAAUUUUGUUUCAGAUUGGAAAUGGGACAGCAAAAAAAUGUUUCGAAGAAUGCUCGACAUUUUUCAUAUGAUCGUGAACUAUUUGACAUGUCUAAGAAAUUUGAUCCCCUUCGUGACAUUGAUAAAUUACGGACCUUCCUACCAUUAAGUAAGCCUGGUUAUCAAUUACCUUGCUACUUAGGUGAUAAAGUCCUACAUGAUGUAUUGCCAAAAUUCAGAUGUAUGCGGGUUUUAUCCUUAUCUUACUAUAACAUCACUUAUUUGCCCGAUUCAUUUGGAAAUUUGAAACAUUUGCGGUAUUUGAACCUUUCUAACACUAAAAUUCGGAAGUUACCUAAAUCAAUAGGUAUGCUUUUGAAUUUGCAAUCAUUGAUUUUGUCAGAAUGUCGUUGGCUUACCGAGUUACCGGCCGAGAUUGGAAAGCUCAUCAACUUGCGUCAUUUGGAUAUUCCCAAAACAAAAAUAGAAGGGAUGCCGAUGGGAAUCAAUGGAUUAAAAGAUCUUCGAAUGUUGACAACUUUUGUUGUUGGCAAGCAUGGUGGUGCAAGACUCGGGGAGUUACGAGAUCUUGCACACCUGCAAGGAGCACUCUCCAUUUUAAACUUGCAGAAUGUGGAGAAUGCUACAGAAGUUAAUUUGAUGAAAAAGGAAGACCUUGACGACUUAGUGUUUGCAUGGGAUCCAAAUGCGAUUGUUGGUGACUUGGAGAUUCAAACCAAAGUUCUCGAAAAGCUUCAGCCUCAUAACAAGGUGAAAAGGCUCAUCAUUGAAUGCUUCUAUGGCAUAAAAUUUCCAAAAUGGUUAGAAGAUCCUUCGUUCAUGAAUUUAGUUUUCUUACAACUUAGAGAUUGUAAAAAUUGCUUGUCUUUGCCGCCACUUGGGCAAUUACAGUCUCUCAAGGAUCUCUGUAUUGUGAAGAUGGAUGAUGUGCGAAAGGUUGGUGUAGAGUUGUAUGGGAAUAGCUAUUGUAGUUCAACUUCAAUUAAGCCAUUUGGAUCCCUAGAGAUUCUGAGGUUUGAAGAGAUGUUAGAGUGGGAGGAAUGGGUUUGUCGUGGAGUUGAAUUCCCUUGUUUGAAGGAGCUUUAUAUCAAGAAAUGUCCAAAUCUGAAAAAGGAUUUACCCGAACACCUUCCUAAAUUAACAGAACUUGAGAUUAGUAAAUGCGAGCAGCUGGUGUGUUGUCUUCCAAUGGCUCCCUCCAUUCGUCGAUUGGAGUUGAAGGAAUGUGAUGAUGUGGUGGUUAGGAGUGCGGGCAGUCUCACCUCAUUGGCUUACUUGACUAUACGCAAUGUUUGCAAAAUACCAGAUGAAUUAGGACAACUGAAUUCUCUUGUACAGUUGUGUGUGUAUCGUUGUCCCGAGCUAAAGGAAAUUCCACCCAUUCUUCACAGCCUUACCUCUCUUAAAAACUUGAACAUCGAGAAUUGUGAGAGUCUCGCAUCUUUUCCGGAGAUGGCGCUGCCACCCAUGCUUGAAAGCCUUGAAAUCAGAGCCUGUCCCACUCUGGAGUCCCUACCAGAGGGAAUGAUGCAAAAUAAUACGACUCUGCAAUGCUUGGAAAUUUGGCAUUGUGGUUCUCUGAGGUCCUUGCCCAGGGACAUUGAUUCAUUGAAGAGACUUGUAAUCUGCGAGUGUAAGAAAUUGGAGUUAGCACUCCACGAGGAUAUGACGCACAACCACUACGCUUCCCUUACCAAAUUCGACAUAACUAGUUGUUGUGAUUCUCUCACGUCCUUUCCAUUAGCCUCCUUCACAAAGCUUGAGACGCUUGAUUUCUUCAAUUGUGGAAAUCUGGAGUCCCUUUACAUUCCAGAUGGACUUCACCACGUGGAUCUCACAUCUCUCCAGUCAUUGGAAAUACGUAAUUGCCCUAAUCUGGUAUCUUUCCCACGAGGAGGAUUGCCCACUCCCAAUUUAAGAAGGCUUUGGAUAUUGAAUUGCGAAAAGCUUAAGUCACUGCCCCAAGGGAUGCACACCCUCCUUACAUCCCUUCAACAUUUGCAUAUAUCUAAUUGUCCAGAAAUUGAUUCAUUUCCCGAAGGGGGUUUGCCCACUAAUCUAUCUGAGCUUGACAUCAGGAAUUGCAACAAACUCGUGGCCAAUCAGAUGGAGUGGGGCUUGCAAACGCUUCCCUUUCUUAGAACGUUGACGAUUGAAGGAUAUGAGAACGAAAGAUUUCCCGAGGAGCGAUUUCUGCCCUCCACUCUCACCUCCCUUGAAAUUAGGGGUUUUCCAAAUCUGAAAUCCCUGGACAAUAAGGGCCUUCAGCACCUCACCUCUCUUGAAACUCUGCGGAUUCGGGAAUGUGGAAACCUCAAGUCCUUCCCAAAACAGGGGCUGCCCUCCUCCCUUUCAAGUCUUUAUAUUGAAGAGUGUCCUCUGCUGAACAAACGGUGCCAAAGGGAUAAAGGGAAAGAAUGGCCCAAGAUUUCUCACAUCCCCUGCAUAGCGUUCGACCAAUCGGAUAUGGAAAAUGGGGAGGUGAUCUUAUCAUGAGGCCCUUGCAUCGAAGCUCUUGCUCUCCUCUGCAUUUAUUGGCCCAGGAGCGUCUACUAUCUUGUUGUUGAUUGAGGAAGGUUGUCUACCAGAAUUGUUGGCUUCCUUGAUUUUCUACUUGGUUUUUGCAAGCACAUCAAAAUGUAGGGAGCAAAUGGAAAAAUCAACCUCGUAAAGCUCAUGUGGACAAAUGAUUCCUAAUUCCAAGACAUCCACUUUAGAUUCUUCAAAUAUGGCAAAGGGUUCAACAAACGUAUUCAUAGCAACAAAGUGCCUAUUUCCAAUUAGGAGGCACCAUUGAAGCAUGUCGGGGUGCAUUCUGUCGGGGAAGUAAAAGAUGGUUAAUCAGCCUUUCAGAAGUCAAAAUUAAAUCAGAGGUUCUAAACUUUUGGAACUCCAGUGCAAUGAAAAGGUUGGAGACUUUGAUCAAGUUAAUACACUUUCCCAUUCUUCUCUCUUGCAUAGGACUUUGGUAUGCCCUUUUGUAUGGGAAGAGCUUAAUCAGGCAUGCAGAGUGAUUCUCCUAUUGAUUAUCAGAUAGAAUGAAGGGCUCUGACAAACGUACUAACCGCCGCAAAGUGCCCUGCUUUCGAUAGGUAUGUCUUCUACUUUAUGAAAAAUAACAUGUUUUGCCUUAUAGUAAAAAUUCACAUACUAAACUAUUAGAAUCAUCGAGAUAAAAGCAGAUGGUCUUUUUGCUUGCAUAUUGAAGAAAUUUCUUUGCUUAUGUAGACUGCUUUAUAUUUAAAGUAUGGUAUGGAGGUUAUCAUAUGCAUCCUAUUCCAUUGGUGUCUACAUUGAUGGUCAAGAUGAUUAUGAUAAGGCUGAAAGAGUGUCUUAGAUGAUUAUGAGUUUUGUUAUCUCUUCUCUGAACAAAACCAUUUCUUUCAUUUCAACAACUCAAUUUCAGUAGUAAUCUAAUUUUGGAAUUUCAAUGCAAUGAAAAGGUGGCAAAUUGGAUCUAAAACUUGUCCCAAACAGGAAAUUAACUCUGCCAGGCAAUUUUGUUUUGGAGUUUUUGGUUCUUGAUUUUGUGAAAUAUGAGAACACAAUUAUAACUACUUGUUCCUAGGAUGGAGAUUUUGCCAAUAGAGAUAGCUUGUUGGAAGGUGAUGUGGAAUCAUAAAGACGUGGAAUCAUAUGGAAGAGAUAAGCAAAUGAUACACUUCCAAGUUUUCCUCUCUUGCAUGGGACUCAGGUACACCAUUCUGCAUGGAAAGAUGUGGGAAGAGUGAUUCUCUUCUUUGUUAUUAAUUAGUUCAUCGUUAAUUAGCUGGAAUCCAAGUGGAUGAUAUGAACAUCCAUACUGGCACCAUUAUGAUAUUUCUUGGAAAUUAUCUGCAGGUGGAACUUAGAUUGUAUUUUGCUAAUGAUCUGUAUAUCCCCUGCCUUCAGUCUUGGGAUAGCAGUAUUCAGAUAGAUUUCUGCCACCUUUAAUUAAGAUCUUCUGUUCCCAUAAAACCAUGUGUAAGCAAUCCUGCUUUCUAUCACUGCAGAAGAGCUUAUCAUCAAAUGAAUGCUUUUUGUUGACUUCCAUUACAUGGUACCCUGAUCCAACACUGGACUCCAAAAGGAGAACAAACAUGCACAAUGAAAUGUAUGUUGAUUCUAAUAACUUAAUUCUCAAUCCCUAACUUGAGGAAAUGAAAGGCAAUAAUAAAUGGAAAUUUUAUCGGGUUUCUCUAGCAGCACAUCCUGACAUGGUAAUCUUGACAAGAAAAAUUAAGAGAAAUGCUUUUAAAUUUGGAAAAACGGAGUAAUGAUGUUUGAAGUUGACAGAAAUGUUCGAGGAUUUCGUCUGUCUUUAAUGUAGGUAAGAUAUUGAGUACGACCUUAACAAAAGCAGUUUGUUGGAGGUGCAUAUCCUAAGACAAUUGUUUUUUUCACUUUAAGAUUGAAUUUUAGCAUUGGUUUAUGAACAUUGUAUUGCACUUCAUCACUUGUAGGCUUCUGCCCAGCUCAUUGGAUUUCUCAAAUACUUUCCCUCCUUCAUUUCCCAUUUUACUGGGGUUUUAUAUCUUGCUCCUUGCUGUCAAGGAACUCAAAAUUCCUCAGUUGUUCAUAAGGUUGUAAAUGUGCCUCAUAUAUGGAAGCUUGUGUGCAAUUCAAUAAUUGGGGUUCUCAUAGUUGCUACAAAUUUGGCGCAGGAUAUCACACACACUCCAAUUAACUGGAUGACUUGACCAUCAGAACAAGCUAUUCAGUUUUAUUUUUUGUUUUUAAGCUCCCAUGAAAAGAUGGCAAGCAUUAGCCAUGGCCCAUGAAAGAAAGUCAUUCUCUUCAUAACUGAUUUAUAUGUCAACUAAAAUGGCAGCAACUUCACAUCUCUUCAAUAUCUGCAGAUGCUGGAAACCUCCAUUGAUGGCAAGUUUCUUUUAGUGUUUCCCAUGUAUACAAAUGUUGUUCCCACAAACCAUGCAUCUUCUAUUCUCUAUUGGGAGAUGUUUUAUGAUGAGAUAUUGUUAUUUGUAUAUGAUAGGUAGGAUGUUCAGUGUCUUAGAGAUUCAACUUAUUGUGAGGUCAUUCCAAAUCUUAAAAGUUGUUGCAUUCUCAGUAGAAGUGAUCUAUUUUCAAA
RNA transcript from Vitis vinifera (wine grape), 6929 nucleotides. It is a transcript of the gene named putative disease resistance RPP13-like protein 1, with no coding region annotated. Lineage: Eukaryota; Viridiplantae; Streptophyta; Magnoliopsida; Vitales; Vitaceae. The record is from RefSeq and is a predicted model, not a curated record. The transcript is spliced from 6 exons.